GCCAGCAAAGGGGCAGUGCCUUUAGCACUCUGAAUGCCUUCUGACAGGUGAAAGAAGGUGGUGAGCCACCCAUAGCCAGCAGAAGACAGUGGUGAGGAAGACAUCAUGCCCCACUCCCCAGCACUGGAGGCUGUGGACUGCGGGAUAAUUACAUUGACUUCAUCUCAGCACUUCGUUUCUGCUGAUACGUCUGUCAAGGACAGGAGGGGAUGCAUGGUCUCUCACUUUCUCAAGUAACCCUUCAACACCCACCCAAGAGGGGCUUCUUACAACCCACCACCACCGAAUUGCCAUGGAAAGAGGAUCCUGGCUAGCAUCCCACCAGCAACAGGCCAUUCUGUGGGGAGGAAAAAGGGAAUUUUUGCCUUUGUUGUCAUUAGUUUGUGGCCCAGAAGGCUUUUCCAUUGUGCUCGGUUGGCCAAGAAUGACCCUCUGUUCCUUCCCAAACAGUAAGCCGAUGCCUAUAGGUUUUUGUGUGUGGUCAACAAUGAUGCAAUAUAUCCUCCCAGCUGGCAGCAGCCCCCCUUCUCUAUUUAUUGUGCUAUGUUAUUAGUCAUACAAUUCACCUGGUAGAGAGUGACUUGCAUUCACUGUGAAGAAUGAAGAUUUUACCAGUUGACUAUUUUUAAAAAAAAACUAGAACCCAUAUUAGAUGGAAAGGGAAAGGCCAAAGGGAAAUUAUUGCUAUUUUAGACAGCAGCAUAAAUUUUCUUCCUAUUUUUAACCUAGCUUUUAAUUUAAUAAGUUUUAUGACCCUUAUAUUAAGUACAUAUGUUUUACAAGACAUUGUGUCCCUUGAGUCACCCUGAAUUUGCUCUACUAUAGCAGAGUUAAAUGAAUGAAUACUGUGUUUCUGAUUUCAGCUCACCCCUUAUUUGAUCCUUAUAUAGUCAAUAAACCCUCAUAGAAGCAUGGAGCAACUGAA
Molecule: long non-coding RNA, 925 nt
Organism: Numida meleagris (helmeted guineafowl)
Lineage: Eukaryota; Metazoa; Chordata; Aves; Galliformes; Numididae
Exons: 2
Source: RefSeq, a predicted model, not a curated record